UCUCCGAAAUAUUCACCAUCGCCAAGCAGAGCUAUUCUCAAUUCUUCCCCGUGUGGUCCUUUACUGAUCACCUCAGCCUGACCAUUCGCCACGAUAAAGAAUUUCUGCUUGUCCUUCCCCUCUUCCACGAACAGUUUACCGAUAUCCACCUCAUUGGUUUCGAAAGAGCUUGCGAGCCUUUCUACGAUAUCAUCGUCAAAUUCAGAAAAGAGGGGAAUCGCCUUCAGGCUUUUGGCAGAAAAAGAUGGCGUGCCGUUGACAUACUCAAUUGGCAGUCUUUCACUUUUUCUGAGUUCAACCUUAGUCCUAUUGACGCGGAAUGUACCUCCACUGACUUGCACCCAAGGCAAGAGUUUCAGGAGCAAUCUUGGGGUGAUACUCCCCAUCUGCGGAGGAGUUUUGGUCGUAGUCGCCAGUUUUCUGGCAGUAGCAGUAG
RNAcentral lists this non-coding RNA (436 nucleotides) under bovine gut metagenome. The record is from RNAcentral.